Molecule: ribosomal RNA, 371 nt
Filed under: uncultured bacterium
Lineage: Bacteria
Description: bacterial SSU rRNA
Rfam family: Bacterial small subunit ribosomal RNA
Source: RNAcentral
GGAGGGUGCGAGCGUUGUCCGGAAUCAUUGGGCGUAAAGGGCGCGUAGGUGGCGGGACAAGCGUGCGGUGAAAGCUCGGGGCUCAACCCCGAGUCGGCCGUGCGAACUGUUUUGCUGGAGCACUGUAGAGGCAGGCGGAAUUCCGGGUGUAGCGGUGGAAUGCGUAGAGAUCCGGAAGAACACCGGUGGCGAAGGCGGCCUGCUGGGCAGUUGCUGACACUGAGGCGCGACAGCGUGGGGAGCAAACAGGAUUAGAUACCCUGGUAGUCCACGCCGUAAACGAUGGGCACUAGGCGCUUGGGGGAGCGACCCCCCGAGGGCCGUAGCUAACGCAUUAAGUGCCCCGCCUGGGGAGUACGGCCGCAAGGCGG